UUCUCAUCUCCAUCUCAAACGGCUGAUUUUCCUAAGAAACCCUACCUGCGGCGCUGAUUCACGUCGGUUUCUCAUCUCCAUCUCAAACAGCUUUCUCCCCGUCGUUCUUUUCUGAUCCCACCACACAAACCCUAAUUUCCUUCAAUCAACUUCCUCCCUGUCGUUCUUCUCUACCUAUCCAUUACGUUUGGGAGUUAAUUAGUGGACUUGCAAAUCGUGAAUGAGAUCUGCCUCUAAACGAAGGGCAUUGGAAUUACAUCAAUAUCAAGGCUAAUAAAACCCUUGGAUUUUAUGGAUUUUGAUCUCAUUUUUUGCCAUUGUCAAGCAAAACAAAGGUCCAGUGCGAGUUAGGUAUGUGAAAAUUUACUCAUAAAAUUAAGCAUCAAUUUGUUAUUAGAGAAGGCUUGCAUUUUGCUUUAUUUCAUUUAUGGAAACAAGCUUUGUGAUGACAAAGUUCCUGAUCGAAUUCACCGUACAUAUACUAUUUGGUAAUUUCAACCCAUUUUGAUAUGUUAUAUGUCCAGACUAUCACUUCUGAUCUUAGACUAAAUAUAUAUCAAACCGGUUGAAACAAUGUGUUGAACCGGCAAGAAAGGAAUCAAGGUUUUUCCUUUUAACUAAUUGAUUUUGGGCUUUAUGUGUUCUUCAAACCAGGUAUUUUAAUAUGUACCUUUUAUCCCAUAUGUUUACAUUUGCUUUUAAACUGAUUAUUAUUGAGACUUUAAGAAUCAUAAAUUGAUAGCUGGGUGUUUAAUGGAACAAAGCAGGUGACAAAAAAUGAAGAAAGAAAGUAGGGUCACUUUGAAAAUGGAAAAGUCAACAUGAAAUUCAAGUUCAACUAUGGACCAUGGUAUGAUAUAUUAAUU
Molecule: long non-coding RNA, 866 nt
Filed under: Helianthus annuus (common sunflower)
Lineage: Eukaryota; Viridiplantae; Streptophyta; Magnoliopsida; Asterales; Asteraceae
Description: hypothetical non coding rna
Source: RNAcentral